AUUGAACGCUGGCGGCAGGCCUAACACAUGCAAGUCGAGCGGAUGAAGGGAGCUUGCUCCUGGAUUCAGCGGCGGACGGGUGAGUAAUGCCUAGGAAUCUGCCUGGUAGUGGGGGAUAACGUCCGGAAACGGGCGCUAAUACCGCAUACGUCCUGAGGGAGAAAGUGGGGGAUCUUCGGACCUCACGCUAUCAGAUGAGCCUAGGUCGGAUUAGUUAGUUGGUGGGGUAAAGGCCUACCAAGGCGACGAUCCGUAACUGGUCUGAGAGGAUGAUCAGUCACACUGGAACUGAGACACGGUCCAGACUCCUACGGGAGGCAGCAGUGGGGAAUAUUGGACAAUGGGCGAAAGCCUGAUCCAGCCAUGCCGCGUGUGUGAAGAAGGUCUUCGGAUUGUAAAGCACUUUAAGCUGGGAGGAAGGGCAGUAAGUUAAUACCUUGCUGUUUUGACGUUACCAACAGAAUAAGCACCGGCUAACUUCGUG
RNAcentral lists this ribosomal RNA (484 nucleotides) under uncultured bacterium. RNAcentral describes it as "partial 16S ribosomal RNA". It matches the Rfam family "Bacterial small subunit ribosomal RNA", at positions 30 to 507 of the family's 1533-position model. The record is from RNAcentral.